AUGGCGGAGGAAGCGUCUGCCAAGCGUCAUUGUGGCCAGACGUCCGACCAGAGCAGCAACCUCGACGUCGUUCACGUUCCCAGUCAGAAGCGCGAGUACACCAUAACCCUCAAAGGGGUUGAUCUCUGCGGCAAGGAGACACUAGAGGUCGUCUGCACCAGCGUACCAGACAAGGCCGACGAGAUGAUCGGUAGGAUCAGGAGGAGCGCCUGCGGCUCGUAUCCUCACAUCAUCGGCGUUGAUGUCGAGUUCACCAAAGAAGAUGAACCUCCGCAGAUGUCAGCAGUUCUGUAG
This 294-nucleotide ribosomal RNA is filed under the name Triticum aestivum (bread wheat). RNAcentral's name for it is "partial small subunit ribosomal RNA". Lineage: Eukaryota; Viridiplantae; Streptophyta; Magnoliopsida; Poales; Poaceae. The record is from RNAcentral.